UAGGUUUGUCCUAAGUCAAACAUCUUUAAGUUUGACCAAAUCUAUAGAAAAAUAUAUCAACAUGAACAUCUACAACAUCGACUAUAUAUAGUAAGAAAUAUAUUUAUGUUAAAUCUAAUGAAACUACUUGGAUGUUGUAGAUGUUGGUAUGUUUUUCUAUGGACUCAGGUCAAACUUAAAGAGGUUUAACUUAGGACAAAGAACU
This 205-nucleotide microRNA precursor is filed under the name Triticum aestivum (bread wheat). Its description in RNAcentral is "MIR1435 microRNA precursor family". It matches the Rfam family "MIR1435 microRNA precursor family". Lineage: Eukaryota; Viridiplantae; Streptophyta; Magnoliopsida; Poales; Poaceae. The record is from Rfam by way of RNAcentral.